Molecule: ribosomal RNA, 471 nt
Filed under: uncultured bacterium
Lineage: Bacteria
Description: bacterial SSU rRNA
Rfam family: Bacterial small subunit ribosomal RNA
Source: RNAcentral
AUUGAACGCUGGCGGCAGGCCUAACACAUGCAAGUCGAGCGGAAACGAGUUAUCUGAACCUUCGGGGAACGAUAACGGCGUCGAGCGGCGGACGGGUGAGUAAUGCCUGGGAAAUUGCCCUGAUGUGGGGGAUAACCAUUGGAAACGAUGGCUAAUACCGCAUAAUAGCUUCGGCUCAAAGAGGGGGACCUUCGGGCCUCUCGCGUCAGGAUAUGCCCAGGUGGGAUUAGCUAGUUGGUGAGGUAAGGGCUCACCAAGGCGACGAUCCCUAGCUGGUCUGAGAGGAUGAUCAGCCACACUGGAACUGAGACACGGUCCAGACUCCUACGGGAGGCAGCAGUGGGGAAUAUUGCACAAUGGGCGCAAGCCUGAUGCAGCCAUGCCGCGUGUAUGAAGAAGGCCUUUCGGGUUGUAAAAGUACUUUCAGCAGUGAGGAAGGGGGUUCGUUAAUAGCGGCAUCUUGACGUUAGC